AUUGAACGCUGGCGGCAGGCCUAACACAUGCGAGUCGAACGAGUGGCGGACGGGUGAGUAAUGUCUGGGAAACUGCCAGAUGGAGGGGGAUAAAUACUGGAAACGGUAGCUAAUACCGCAUAUCAUCGGAUGUGCCCAGAUGGGAUUGGCUAGUAGGUGGGGUAAAGGCUAACCUAGGAGACGAUCCCUAGCUGGUCGUAGAGGAUGAUCAGUCACACUUGAACUGAGACUCGGUCCAGACUCCUCCGGUAGGCAGCAGUGGGGUAUAUUGGACAAUGGGCGAAAGCCUGAUCCAGCCAUGCCGCGUGUGUGAAGAAGGGCUUCGGAUUGUAACGCACUUUAAGUUGGGAGGCGUUACCAACAGAAUAAGCACCGGCUAACUUCGUGCCAGCAGCCGCGGUAAUUC
RNAcentral lists this ribosomal RNA (406 nucleotides) under uncultured bacterium. RNAcentral describes it as "partial 16S ribosomal RNA". It matches the Rfam family "Bacterial small subunit ribosomal RNA", at positions 30 to 526 of the family's 1533-position model. The record is from RNAcentral.